This 156-nucleotide small RNA is filed under the name Mus musculus (house mouse). The record is from RNAcentral. Lineage: Eukaryota; Metazoa; Chordata; Mammalia; Rodentia; Muridae.
CCGUUCCCUUCAGGACCACCAAUAAUCCCGCCACCCCCUCCCAUCUCUCCCGACUGUCUGGAUGACACUGAUGCCCUGGGCAGUAUGCUAAUCUCUUGGUACAUGAGUGGCUACCACACUGGCUACUAUAUGCCAGGUCUAAAAUUCAACGGCCCG